This 1464-nucleotide ribosomal RNA is filed under the name metagenome. RNAcentral's name for it is "bacterial LSU rRNA". It matches the Rfam family "Bacterial large subunit ribosomal RNA", at positions 1302 to 2773 of the family's 2925-position model. The record is from RNAcentral.
AUUAGUAGCGAGAUGUAGGUGAGAAUCCUACAGGCCGAAUAUCUAAGGUUUCCUCAGGAAGGCUCGUCCGCUGAGGGUUAGUCGGGACCUAAGCCGAGGCCGAAAGGCGUAGGCGAUGGACAACAGGUUGAUAUUCCUGUACCACUACCAUCGUUAUUAUCGAGGGUGUGACGGAGAAGGAUAGUGUGUGCUAGCGAUUGGAAAUGCUAGUCUAAGCGUUUAGGCAGUUACGGUAGGCAAAUCCGCUGUAAUGUUAAUGCUGAGGCGUGAUGGGGAAAGCCAUUUAGGCUGAAGUACAUGAUUCCAUGCUUCCAAGAAAAGCAUCUAGAGAGAGAAGUAGUGCCCGUACCGCAAACCGACACAGGUAGAUGAGGAGAGAAUCCUAAGGCCGGCGGAAGAAUUGCAGUUAAGGAACUAGGCAAAUUGACCCCGUAAGUUAGCGAGAAGGGGUGCCUACGAGAGUAGGCCGCAGAGAAUAGCCCCAAGCAACUGUUUAGCAAAAACACAGGUCUCUGCUAAAGCGCAAGCUGAUGUAUAGGGGCUGACGCCUGCCCGGUGCUGGAAGGUUAAGGGGAACACUUAGCGCAAGCGAAGGUGUGAACUUAAGCCCCGGUAAACGGCGGCCGUAACGAUAACGGUCCUAAGGUAGCGAAAUUCCUUGUCAGGUAAGUUCUGACCCGCACGAAUGGCGUAAUGACUUGGGCACUGCCUCAACUGCAAAUCCGGCGAAGUCGUAGUGCGAGUGAAGAUGCUCGCUACCCGCGAUUGGACGGAAAGACCCCGUAGAGCUUUACUGUAGCUUAGCAUUGAAUUCCGGUAUUGUCUGUACAGGAUAGGUGGGAGACUGGGAAACUAGGGCGUCAGCCUUAGUGGAGUCAUCCUUGGGAUACCACCCUGACAGUACUGGGGUUCUAACAGGAUGCCAUGAAUCUGGUGACUGGACAUUGUUAGGUGGGCAGUUUGACUGGGGCGGUCGCCUCCUAAAAAGUAACGGAGGCGCCCAAAGGUUCCCUCAGAACGGUCGGAAAUCGUUCGUAGAGUGCAAAGGCAGAAGGGAGCCUGACUGCGAGACCUACAAGUCGAGCAGGGACGAAAGUCGGGCUUAGUGAUCCGGUGGUACCUCGUGGGAGGGCCAUCGCUCAACGGAUAAAAGCUACCUCGGGGAUAACAGGCUGAUCUCCCCCAAGAGUCCACAUCGACGGGGAGGUUUGGCACCUCGAUGUCGGCUCGUCGCAUCCUGGGGCUGUAGUAGGUCCCAAGGGUUGGGCUGUUCGCCCAUUAAAGCGGCACGCGAGCUGGGUUCAGAACGUCGUGUGACAGUUCGGUCCCUAUCCGUCGCGGGCGUAGGAAAUUUGAGAGGAGCUGUCCUUAGUACGAGAGGACCGGGAUGGACUGACCUCUGGUGCACCGGUUGUUCUGCCAAGAGCAUGGCUGGGUAGCUAAGUCGGGAAGGGAUAAACGCUG